GGCGCCGUGGCAGAGCGGCCCAUUGCACUCGGCGCGCGGAAGGCUCCGCGCGACGACUGAUGAGGUCCGGGCGGGCCCUGCUCGUCCUCGUCCGCGGGUUCGAAUCCCGUCGGCGCC
Molecule: transfer RNA, 117 nt
Filed under: Streptomyces sp. HUCO-GS316
Lineage: Bacteria; Bacillati; Actinomycetota; Actinomycetes; Kitasatosporales; Streptomycetaceae
Description: tRNA-OTHER
Source: RNAcentral